This 425-nucleotide ribosomal RNA is filed under the name uncultured bacterium. RNAcentral describes it as "bacterial SSU rRNA". It matches the Rfam family "Bacterial small subunit ribosomal RNA", at positions 355 to 772 of the family's 1533-position model. The record is from RNAcentral.
UGGGGAAUUUUGCGCAAUGGGCUAACGCCUGACGCAGCAACGCCGCGUGGAGGAUGAAGGUCUUUGGAUUGUAAACUCCUGUCAGCAGGGAAAAAGCGACCUGACCUCAUACGUCAGGGAGUUGAUUGUACCUGCAGAGGAAGCCCCGGCUAACUCUGUGCCAGCAGCCGCGGUAAUACAGAGGGGGCAAGCGUUAUUCGGAAUUAUUGGGCGUAAAGGGCGCGUAGGCGGCCAGUCAAGUGGAAGGUGAAAUCCCUCGGCUUAACCGAGGAACUGCCUUCCAGACUGUUUGGCUUGAGACCAGGAGAGGUGAGUGGAAUUCCCAGUGUAGCGGUGAAAUGCGUAGAUAUUGGGAGGAACACCAGUGGCGAAGGCGGCUCACUGGACUGGUACUGACGCUGAGGCGCGAAAGCGUGGGGAGCAAA